GACAAUAAGGUUAUGUCAGGAGAAUAUAAUACCCCUGCUAUAAAUAGAUGAUGUGAGCAAUCUGCUAACCCUCAAAAGGCACAAGAUUUCGAAUUUCACAAAAAAAAUAAUGGCUACGCAAACAGGACUAACAAUUAUAGUGUUGGUCCUUGUAAUGUCAAUAGCGGAGAUAAAAGGGAGAAACAGAUUUGGAACUAUCGAUAUGGUGGCUCCGUGUUGCAGAAAAGGAGGUGCGGUUCACCCCUCUGCAGAGUCUCUUACUCCCGCUCCAUCUCCAACAAAAUUACCUCUUACGUCGCCUCCAAGUUUAGCGGACUUGCUUACCUACAGGCGCGGAACUGGACAGCAGGUGGUCAGAACUCAGAACAACUGGAACUCCUUAGUAUUGUUAUAAAUAACCAGUUAGCUACUUAACCGCAUAUAUGACAAGUAGUAACUGGAGUUAUUGGUGAUUAGUACCGAGGAGUUACUGGGGCAGAUCACGCCUGCAACAUGUAGACAUGACUACAUUCUACCUAGCAUCUCCUUCAACCGCUACUCUUGUCAUUACUUCUACCUAGUAUGCCAUUAAGUGUAUAUAAAAGAACGGUUUUUCUAUGGUGUGCCCAUGGACACACAAUAGACCCUAAAUUCUAGUUUGGUGCAUUUUUGCCCCCUGCAUUUACACCAAGUCCACCAAUUAAAAUCCACCAAUCUCAUCAAAUUUGGUGUAUAAUGUGUGCUCAUGGGCACACACUAGAAAGACCCAAAAAAGUUUAUUUCUAAUUAAUCUGUUUUCUUCUAUAAGCACUUGGUUAAUUUGAUCAUUCUGUCAGUGUGACAUUCAGCUUUUUUUUUUUUGAAAAGCGAAAAUUUGGAAUUCAAUAAAACUCAGAAAUUCUUACAACUCUCCUGCGGGGAUGAGACAAAAGCAAACUGAAAUAGUAGGACAAACUACUAACAAAAGAUGUUGCACAUCAAGCAACCCUGGAAGAGAACCUGAGACCUAAACAAAAGCGGAACAAAUAGAACAUAAAUAAAACACCACAUAACAGUGCAUAACACACUGAAGAAACUACAGAAGUGAUCAAGGCCCCGCUUUCUUGGCAGCUUUCCCAUGCUUCAUGAACUCGGCGGCUUGUUCCAUUCCCAACAAUCCAUCAGCAGCUCCACUACCACUUACUGGAGCUUUUAUACAGCCAAGCUUUGGAAGGAGGUCUGCUAAAGCCCCCAAUAAGAUGCUCUGCAGCACAUCUUUAGCCAGAACUCCAGUGCCCACCAUUAUGUCAAGAGCAGUUUCAGAAGAAUUGAAUACUUGAGAGGAAUAGCCUGGUUUACGACCAUCCAUCAGAUUGAUGGCUUCAAGAGAGAACAGACCAUUCUUGUUAAAGCAGAGCUCAUUCAACACUUUUGCCUUACCCUUAUUGCGACCGCUCCUUACAGCCUCGACAGAAGACUCAGGCUCAGAAUAAAUGAAACCACCGGAAGAAGAACUCCAGUCCCCAAGCUUAACAUUUGAAAAAUAAAGGCACAUACGGGGGACCCAAAUAUACCGAAUCUCCAGGCGGCGUUAAUGAAGCAGACCUCCCCCAGAAGACUCAGUGGUCGCAAAACCCAGCAAAAAUUACUGUGGACUGUUAUACAGCUGUGAGGAAGUGAGUGGACAAUCCAAAAGAUUUAUCUGACCCACCUCAAAUUCUUUCAGAUUUGGUCUGCUUAAACCCUUCUUGGCUAAGUCAUCGGCUUGUUCAUUCAAGUACCUAGGAACAAAAUGAAUAAAGAUGGACUUGUUUAUGCGAUGUUGAAAUUCGAAUUCUACACGCUUAAGAGGGAAUUUUAUAAAAAUUCCUUCAUUAAACGCACUGACCACCUCAGAUGAAUCAGAGCAUAUUACUACUCUUUUGUGAUCAAUUCCAGUUUUUAUCAACCAGUGUAUAACCCGGAGAACCCCUUCCAACUCGGUAUAUGAUGCGUUGCAAGCGCUUACCGGCCCUGAGAAUGAGAAGAUUGUCUUGCCAGAACGAUCUUUCAAGUAGCCUCCAAUACUCCCUCCGAGAUUAGAAUCACUUAUCCUCCCCCAUGCUCCGUCUACUGCUGCAACAUAAUCAAAAUGGUCCCUUUUGUGCUUCCAGAAAGAGGAUGAGAUUUUAAAUAACCGAACAGCUAUUGCUCCUUGAGGGUUUACACGCCAUAACGGAUCGGCACCAAAACUGAAUAAGCCAGACGCAAUCCCCCAUUUGUCUAUUCGCAGGGCGAUUAUCUCUUUCAAGCUAUCUCGACUUAUCUUUUUUGUAGAGAAAACCGCUUCGUUUCGAGACAACCAAAUUGACCACAUUACUGCUACUACAACUAUUUGCCAAAUUGAACCUAUUUUAGCCGAGGAGAAGACUGAGAGUAAUUUUAUAAGGGAGAAAUUACCACUCCUGUGAAUUAGCCAAUUGAUACUCCACCACUGACCCACAAAAUGCCAUCCCCAGGCAGCCAACGUACAUUCCCAGAAUAAAUGAGAUACUGACUCCUGAGCUCUCUCGCACCAAGGGCAGAUUGUAGAUGAUCCACGUAUCCUUGAACUGAUGAACAUUCUCGUGGGAAUAAUGUUCCAUUGGACUUUCCACAGAAAGACUAAUAUUUUCGGGGGGGCUUUGAUAUUCCAAAUUACUCUCCAUAUGUAGCUACGGGAUUGAUCAGGGGCACUAGAAGAUAAUAUAAGAUCAAAACACGACUUUGAAGAGAACUGCUCCUUCCCUGGAAUCCAUAACAGUGCAUCCACCCCUGCCGAUAAAAUCACUUUAUCUAGCAACACGGACAAAGGAAAGAAGUCUGCCAUUGAUUCGACUAUCGUGGAGUUUAGCCAAAGGCAUGAAUCCACUUUAUUUUUCCUCCAAAUCUUGAAGAAUUCAGCCACUCUAAUGUGCUUAUCUCGGACCAGGGAAUAUAGAGAUGGGAACAAAGAUUUUAGAUCCCUGUCCCCAGUCCACCAGUCCUCCCACAAAUACACCAUGUCUCCUCCUCUGACUACCCAUUUGAAAUUCUCUCUACUUAAAAAUUUACCUAUGACUGGGUCCGAGAUCAGUUCCACUAUUCUUUUCAUAACUGGAGAACAGAAUUUCGUGUCCAGUUUGGAGAGAUCGUAAUGAAAGCAUGUACCAUAUCUCCUCAACAAAAAUUGGUUCCAUAAACUAUCUCUAUCAUUAUAUGCUCGCCAAAUCCAUUUCGCAAGAAUGACUAAGUUCUUGAGGCGAAAGGAUUGUAGUCCAAGACCACCCCAAUGUUUUGGGAGACAAAUCGUUUCCCAGUUUAUCAAAUGGAUCUUGUUGCCUCCCUUUUCAUUUUUCCCCCACAGAAACGCUCGUCUCUGCUGUUCUAGCUUGUUUGCCACCAUUUCUGGCAUCCUGUACAUUGAGAACCAAUAUAUAGGAAUGCUAUCAAUCGCAGCUCUUAGUAAAACAGUUUUCCCUGCUAACGAAACUCUAGAUGCAUCGUAUGAAUUAAUUUUUGCUGAGAAUUUGUGAAUAAGGGGAUCCCAAAAACGCACUGAUCUUGGAUUAGCACCCAGAGUCGCUCCUAGAUAGCUUAUCGGGCCUGAAUCAAUCUUGCAGCCUAACAUCGAGGCAUAAGCAUCAGCACGUUGAUGUGACAUUCAGCUUUAGUGCUUCCCCCUGCUUUUCCCUGCUUUUGUUUAUCUUUCCAAUGUUUUAUAUGAAAUUUAAACGACUUGGAAAGAAUCUCAAGGAUUUAAGGGUAAUGUACUAAGAGCAACUCCAACGGUGUUCAUAAAUCAUUCUUUUAAUAAUGAUAUAAAAUGUGGCUCUUAGUAAGUUAAUACAUUAGAAAACGUGAGAACUCCAAUGCUACUCUUUAUACUUGCUCCUUAUUCACAUUUUAUAUUUAUUUUAUAUAAAUGCGAGGGAAAAGUUAACUAAAAAAGAGAGAAGAUUGGAGAGAAAUUAAUAUAAUAUUGAGUUAAAAGCUACUAGAUGCUCUUUAAAAGAAAAGAGAGAGUAAGCUCCUAAAUUUUUAAAGAGCAUCUAGAACCCAUUGGAGCACUAAAUUUUGAUUUGCUCUUAAAAUUUAGGCUUAAGAGCUUGUUUAGAGAGCUCAUUGGAGUUGCUCUAACGUUAAGUGUUUUAAUUCUCUACAAAUCUGCACAUUAACCUAACAUAUUUUACACGUACACAGGUAGAUGUUAUUCUGUUACUCCUCGGUUCCCCUCAAUUGUUUAUAUUAGGAGACUAUGGUUCGCACAUAUUUUAAGGCUUUUAUAAAAUAUAGUUUAAUAAAUUAUUUUAAACUUCUUUUUUCUAUAUAAAAAUUUAAGAAUGUUUAAAUUUUUAUACAGAACAAGAAAUUUUUUUAAAAAAAUUAUGAAAUUAUACUUUUUAUACGUCUUAAAAUACAUGUAAAGCACUUGAAAAAAAAAUGUAAAAAAAUGAGAGUGACGGAAGUAGUACAUGAGCACUAUUGUUGUUCCUUUUACUUUCUUGUUUUUUACGUGCAUUUGUCUAUCUCUGCUACUGAUAUACUGCUUAAGUUUGAAAUAGCCUGAGCCAGAAAACAAAAAGGUCUGGAUAACCGGCCAUGGCUGGAUAGGAGUUGCAAUUCAAUCGGUAAAUCUUGAUCAUUGAUUAAAAAAAACGACGACUAAGAUUCGUCAUACCGGGUACCAUUCUCACUACUUCCUAGCAUCUUUUUAUAUCCGUUAUUGAAGACUCCGGAUGUUAAGGGACGAGGAAGGAAAGAUUUAAAGAUUAAACCUUUCUCAUAUCUGUUUACAAAUGUCUCAACUCUCGUAUUUGUUUAUAAAUGUUUCAAAUUUUGCAAAAAAAUUAAACUCCUCACUAUCCUUGUAUAAAUUCUAAAUCUACUGAAAAAUGAAUACUGAUAAAAUAGGGUCUUGAAUAUAAAGCACACAUUAAAUUUUAUAUUAUUCGGGUUAAUGAAAUUCGUCUUUAAGUAAAAAGAAAACAGACAAGAUAGUAACUAAACUUUCACUUAACAUAAUCCUGGUUAAUGCUUUCAAAAAAAAAAAUCCUGGUUAAUAUUCUCGAAAUUAAAACCAACAUAAUUACUCUGUCAAAAAAAAAAACCAACAUAAUUACUAAAGAUUAAAAUGAAAUACAUCAAAGUAGUUGGGCAUAUGAACACAGUAGUACAGUUUACACAACAUAUAAAACCUACAUGAUAGACGCAUUGAAACAGCGUUGCAUAAACUUGAGAUGAUCCUGUCUUUAUCUGGUGUAUCCGAGGAUUCUGUCUUUCUAUAACUAAAUAGUGUCAAGAUUGUUAGAGAUUUUUCUCGAUGAAAGACAUAAAUCUAAAUUCUGAUGCAAAUUUACAGGGCUACACUGUGUUCCAAUAAAAGCGAAAAAAAUACCAAGUAAAUAUUAGGUGUAUAUCGGUAACAAAUAUUGUGUAUUUAUAAUAUCCUAUUCCCGUCAAGGAAACGUAUUGUUUACCUAUUAAUUUUGUCAAUUUUGUUGGCUUCUCGUCGCUGCCAAACUAAAGCAAUAUACAGAAAAAUUUUCAGGGCACAUCACUCGCAUAGAAAAUGAACAACUUAAUAAAAUGACAGUUUGACGGUACAAAAUUGAAACAAGGGUCUUACGUUAGUUAGUACUACUGGGAAAUCUAAAGCAGCAUUACUUGUGAAAGAGAUCCAUGGGUUUAUUAAAGUUAACAUGCAAGCUAAGGACAAUAUGGUUAUGUCAAGUGAAUAUAGUGAUCCUCUGCUAUAUAAAUAGAUGAUGUGAGCAACCCUCAAUAGGCACAAGAUUUCGAACUUCACAAAAAAAAUAAUGGCUACGCAAAUAGGACUAACAAUUAUAGUGUUGGUCCUUCUAAUGUCAAUACCGGAGAUAAAAGGGGGAAACAGAUUUGGAUCUAUCGAUAUGGUGGCUUCAUGUUGCAGAAAAGGAGGUGCGGUUUACCCCUCUGCAGAGUCUCUUACUCCCACUCCAUCUCCAUCAGAAUUACCUCUUACAUUGCCUCCAAUUUUAGCGGAUUCACCCUACAGGGGCGGAACUGGACAGCCAGUGGUCACAACUGGAAAAGCAUCUCCUUAGAAUUGUUAUAAAUAAGCAGCUCGCUACUUAACCACAUAUAUGACAGAUGGUAACCGGAGUCGUCAGUGAUUAGUGCCGAGGAGUUAUUGGGGCAGAUCACACCUGCAACAUGUAGACAUGACUACAUUCUACCUAGCAUCUCCUUC
This 6187-nucleotide long non-coding RNA is filed under the name Daucus carota (carrot). RNAcentral describes it as "long non-coding RNA (DCAR_LNC005501)". Lineage: Eukaryota; Viridiplantae; Streptophyta; Magnoliopsida; Apiales; Apiaceae. The record is from RNAcentral.